This 403-nucleotide ribosomal RNA is filed under the name uncultured prokaryote. RNAcentral describes it as "bacterial SSU rRNA". It matches the Rfam family "Bacterial small subunit ribosomal RNA", at positions 355 to 776 of the family's 1533-position model. The record is from RNAcentral. RNAcentral also lists the same sequence under 1 other name.
UGGGGAAUAUUGCACAAUGGAGGAAACUCUGAUGCAGCGACGUCGCGUGAACGAUGAAGGUCUUCGGAUCGUAAAGUUUUGUCCUUGGGGACGAUAAUGACGGUACCCAAGGAGGAAGCCCCGGCUAACUACGUGCCAGCAGCCGCGGUAAUACGUAGGGGGCAAGCGUUGUCCGGAUUUAUUGGGCGUAAAGGGUUCGCAGGUGGCCUAUCAAGUCAGGUGUAAAAGAUCAAGGCUUAACCUUGGUAAGCACUUGAAACUGAAAGGCUUGAGUUAAGGAGAGGAAAGUGGAAUUCCUAGUGUAGCGGUGAAAUGCGUAGAUAUUAGGAGGAAUACCAGUGGCGAAGGCGACUUUCUGGACUUAUACUGACACUGAGGAACGAAAGCAUGGGGAGCAAACAGG